ACUGGAGUGAAUGUGUUUUCUAUGGGUGACGUCACACUCAUUAUGGUCUCAAAUAGACCUGAAGAGCUGUGAGUCGUCGGCAUAGAAACGCUAAGAUAUGAGGAAACGCUCAGAAAUCUGGUCCUUUUGUUUAUUUGUGCCGGGACGUUUUAUGAUCUAAAAUGCUGAAAUGCUGCGUUCAAGUCGUGUUGAAAUAAUCAGAAAAAUGACCUGGAAAUCAAUGAAUAUCAGAAAAACAACAAAUCUUUAAACACUACAUGAAUGCUGAAUAACUAUGCCCUGAAUUUAUUUGUAGCGCGCCAUCUAUAGGGAGACUUCUGAACUACAGAGAAAAUAAAACAACCAACCUGCCAUUGAAGCUCCUUAUUGGCUAAACACACCUGGUCCAGGUAGUCAGCAGCAGAAAAGGGAGGAUUUUGAGGCAGUUUAAGAUGGACAGAAUAUUCUUAACAACAUCCUCUGGUUUCCAGAAGUGUGCAGUCAUUUGAGGUUCAUCUUCUGUGUUUUAGAUUCUUCAAGUCGAGAUCCCCUACAGGCAGAGAUUGAUUUUGAGGUCAUAUGGGAAUGGCGCCUGGAAGGCAAAGCUCAGGGCAAAAGUGACAUGAAACUGUGAGUGAGGGAAACGGAUGUUAGACUGAACACAAACUCACCUUUAAAUCCCCCCAUGGAUGUCCGUGCUGCAGCCUGUCUGCCUGCAGGCCGCGCCGUACGCCGCUCGUGCGCAGUCAGUGCAGAAACUAAACCGCCACCAGUCAUUGGCCCGUCUGUGGUUUUGAUGCUCUGAAUGGAAGAGCGGCAACUGAAUCUGCAGCUUGUUGAUCGUCGCCUUCAUCAACAUAGCAGAUUUAUCUGCUGCAAAUAUCAAGUUAUGAUGUGAUGGAAUCUGGAUCAUCAAUCAGCAAAAGUUAAGCUUUAAAAACAACGAUCAGUCAUAAAGUUUGAAGGUUUUUUUGUUCCAUCAGCCUGAUAUAGUUUCCCUCCAAUGAAGAGGUAAACCUGGGAGUUGAGGUUAGAAGGUUGUAAAUCAUUUUAAACCUCUGAGCUCGUCAUUCAAAUAUGAAAAAACUGAAAAGAGAAGUGUUUAUAUUUGUGUUUAUAACUGCUACAUUAAAGCACAGCUGAAGAAA
This is a long non-coding RNA of Oryzias melastigma (Indian medaka), 1127 nucleotides long. RefSeq lists it as uncharacterized. The transcript has 2 exons. Lineage: Eukaryota; Metazoa; Chordata; Actinopteri; Beloniformes; Adrianichthyidae. The record is from RefSeq and is a predicted model, not a curated record.